Molecule: ribosomal RNA, 500 nt
Filed under: uncultured bacterium
Lineage: Bacteria
Description: partial 16S ribosomal RNA
Rfam family: Bacterial small subunit ribosomal RNA
Source: RNAcentral
AUUGAACGCUGGCGGCAUGCCUUACACAUGCAAGUCGAACGGCAGCACGGGAGCAAUCCUGGUGGCGAGUGGCGAACGGGUGAGUAAAGUAUCGGAACGUGCCCAGUCGUGGGGGAUAACGUAGCGAAAGUUACGCUAAUACCGCAUACGAUCUAUGGAUGAAAGCGGGGGAUUGCAAGACCUCGCGCGAUUGGAGCGGCCGCUAUCAGAUUAGGUAGUUGGUGGGGUAAAGGCUCACCAAGCCGACGAUCUGUAGCUGGUCUGAGAGGACGAUCAGCCACACUGUGACUGAGACACGGCGCAGACUCUUACGGGAGGCAGAAGUGGGGAAUUUUGGACAAGGGGCGAAAGCCUGAUCCAGCGAUGCCGCGUGCAGGAUGAAGGCAUUCGGGUUGUAAACUGCUUUUGGACGGAAAGAAAAGGUUUGGCCUAAUAAGCUGAGCUCAUGACGGUACCGUAAGAAUAAGCACCGGCUAACUACGUGCCAGCCGCCGCAGUAA